RNAcentral lists this ribosomal RNA (383 nucleotides) under Trichocomaceae sp. BESC15h. RNAcentral describes it as "partial 28S ribosomal RNA". It matches the Rfam family "Eukaryotic large subunit ribosomal RNA", at positions 141 to 528 of the family's 3401-position model. Lineage: Eukaryota; Fungi; Ascomycota; Eurotiomycetes; Eurotiales; Trichocomaceae. The record is from RNAcentral.
CAUUGUAAUUUGCAGAGGAUGCUUCGGGAGCGGCCCCCAUCUAAGUGCCCUGGAACGGGCCGUCAUNGAGGGUGAGAAUCCCGUCUGGGAUGGGGUGCCCGCGCCCGUGUGAAGNUCNUUCGACGAGUCGAGUUGUUUGGGAAUGCAGCUNNAAAUGGGUGGUAAAUUUCAUCUAAAGNUAAAUACUGGCCGGAGACCGAUAGCGCACAAGUAGAGUGAUCGAAAGAUGAAAAGCACUUUGAAAAGAGAGUUAAACAGCACGUGAAAUUGUUGAAAGGGAAGCGCUNGCGACCAGACUCGCUNGCGGGGUUCAGCCGGCCUUCGGGCCGNUGUACUUCCCCGCGGGCGGNCCAGCGUCGGUUUGGGCGGCCGGUCAAAGGCCC